This 286-nucleotide long non-coding RNA is filed under the name Salvia miltiorrhiza (redroot sage). RNAcentral's name for it is "long non-coding RNA (SMIL_LNC010094)". The record is from RNAcentral. Lineage: Eukaryota; Viridiplantae; Streptophyta; Magnoliopsida; Lamiales; Lamiaceae.
GAUUACACUUAUUUACGCUUGAAUGCUUUACGCUGAUAAGUUUAUGCUUAUGUUUGAUGUUUGCGUCUGUUGGGGGAGGCCUCCCUCAACAGUACGAUGCCGUGUCCGUUGAGGAGGGCCUUCCUCACGGCGCGAUGCCGUGUCCGUUGAGAGAGGCCUCUCUCGCGGCGCGAUGCUAGUAUGCCAGUGUUACAGCGUCUAUUGGGGGAGGCCUCCCUCAAUAGUACGAUGCCGUGACCGCUGAGGGAGGCUCCCCCUCACGGUGCGAUGCCCGUGUUCGUUGGGG